CCCAAAAGAAUUUUAUGGACCUCAAAAGGAUUUUAUGGAUCCCCCAAAGUGUUCCAGAGACCCCAAAAGGAUUUUAUGGAUCCCCCAAAAGGAUUUUAUGGACUCCAAAGGAUUUUGUGGACCCCAAAAGGAUUUUAUGGACUCCAAAGGAUUUUAAGGACCCCAAAAAGGAUUUUAAGGACCCCAAAAAGUUCUCCGGCCCCGAUGGAUUCUAUGGCCCCAAAGGGUUCGACAACCCCACAGCUCGAAGGUCACCGGGGUUUUAUGGCCCUGGGGUUUUAUGGCCCCGAGGUUUUAUGGCCCCCGGGGUUUUAUGGCCCCCGAGGUUUUAUGGCCCCGGGAUUUACACCCCGAUGCGUGAAAGUGCCUCCAUAAAGAUUUGGGAACUUUUAUGGCCUCGGUGCCUUCCUGGGACAGCGAGGGCGGGGUGGGAGCGGGGCGGGGGGAGAGAAAUGGGGGCGGUUCUGGGACCCCCAGGGACCCCCCUGAUCCUAUGGGACCCCCCUGAUCCUAUGGGACCCCCAGGG
Corvus moneduloides (New Caledonian crow) is the source of this 527-nucleotide long non-coding RNA. NCBI's taxonomy places the organism in Eukaryota, Metazoa, Chordata, Aves, Passeriformes, Corvidae. The record is from Ensembl.